RNAcentral lists this ribosomal RNA (484 nucleotides) under uncultured bacterium. RNAcentral's name for it is "partial 16S ribosomal RNA". It matches the Rfam family "Bacterial small subunit ribosomal RNA", at positions 30 to 507 of the family's 1533-position model. The record is from RNAcentral.
AUUGAACGCUGGCGGAAUGCUUUACACAUGCAAGUCGAGCGGCAGCACGGGGGCAACCCUGGUGGCGAGCGGCGAACGGGUGAGUAAUGCAUCGGAACAUGCCCAGUCGUGGGGGAUAACACUUCGAAAGAAGUGCUAAUACCGCAUACGUCCUGAGGGAGAAAGCGGGGGAUCGCAAGACCUCGCGCGAUUGGAGUGGCCGAUGUCAGAUUAGCUAGUUGGUGGGGUAAAGGCCUACCAAGGCAACGAUCUGUAGCUGGUCUGAGAGGAUGAUCAGCCACACUGGGACUGAGACACGGCCCAGACUCCUACGGGAGGCAGCAGUGGGGAAUUUUGGACAAUGGGGGCAACCCUGAUCCAGCCAUUCCGCGUGAGUGAAGAAGGCCUUCGGGUUGUAAAGCUCUUUCGGCAGGAACGAAACGGUGAGCUCUAACAUAGCUCGCUAAUGACGGUACCUGAAGAAGAAGCACCGGCUAACUACGUG